RNAcentral lists this long non-coding RNA (1762 nucleotides) under Citrus sinensis (sweet orange). RNAcentral describes it as "long non-coding RNA (CSIN_LNC000789)". The record is from RNAcentral. Lineage: Eukaryota; Viridiplantae; Streptophyta; Magnoliopsida; Sapindales; Rutaceae.
UCGGUUUUUUUUUCCCAAGUGUUCAUCCAAAACUCAAACAUCUCUCACCCUCACACGGUUUCACUCUCGUAACAACCUAUCGCCUCAAACCCUUACAUUAGUAACAGCGUUGAUUUUGUCUCAUGUCUCAGCAUCGAUUUGCCUUGUCACCCGCCAUCGAUUUGGCCAUCAUCGAGAUCCACAUGAGGAACCCACUGAACGUGUGCUGCCACCGUUGCAUUUCAAAACCCUAACUGAAAACCCACCAUUGAUUAAGCUCAAUUUUUUUAUUAACACAGGUAAUUAUUCUCCUUAUUUUCUCUUGCAUUUCAAUUUAAUUAAAUUUUUUUGUCAAUUUCAACACUAAAGGUGUAGUUCUAAGCACUGAAGGUUUAUCUAAAAUUUGUUCAUUGUGUUGGAAAAAUGGAAUUUUUCCUUAAAAGUUAUGUGCACAAAUGUACUAGUUUGUUGAAAUGAACGAAAUCUGAACCUUUAGAAUGAUUUCGGUUUUGUUCUUGUGCGGCUAAUGACCUUAACAUUUUGUCCAGUUUUCAAAUUGGGGAUCCAAUUAUUUUCUUCUUAGUUCUUGCACGGUCGAUCUUCUUUGUUGGCCGAGGGCUUUGCACCUAUGCUUCCAUUGAUGUUAUCGCAGCCAACACAGUCGAUUUGGGUCUUUUAAUACUUGAUUCUUUGAGGACAAGUAACAUGUUUGCUUCAUGGACAUUUGUUGGAGCAAAGACUUUAGUAGAUAAUAAUGCUACUUCUGAGGUUAGCUUGACUUUGAUGCUCUGUUUUUGUAUGCAUUUAGUUACUGUACAAUUUUUGUUGCAAAGGCCUUAUUUGCUUAGCUUAGUUUUGCUUACUCAAUUAGUUAUAAUUUUUUGAAUUUGGCUGUGGUUUUUUGCAAAAUUUCUUUCCAAUCCAUAUUAGUUCACCUUUCUAACCAACUUGGAUAUAAAGACUGCGUCUAUUGGCUGUGGUUUUUUGCAAAAUGCCGUUCCAAUCCAUUUUAUAUAUUAUUAAUCUUUCAUUUGCAAUUGGUAUCGUAUGAAUAGCUUCAAUAUUGAAAUUUUAAUGAGUUUUUGAAGCUAGCUGUAGGAUGUGCAGGAAUUUAUUUUACCUUUCUGACCAGCCUGGAUAUAUUAUUAAAACUCUAUCUAUUAGAUAUGCUUUUUGCAACUUUUCUUUUCAAUUCCUAUGAUUUACUUAUCAAUCUAUGCUCCAGAGCCUUAUGCCAAGAAUGGUUUUGCAUUUUAAUCAUAUUUCCUGCUACUCAAUGUGAUGAUUUUAUUUUUCACUUGGUGGACAGAGAGUUGGGUUUUACCUUUUCAUUUUCUAUUAGCAAACGUUGGCCGAGGGCUUUGCACCUAUGCUUCCAUUGAUGUUAUCGCAGCCAACACAGUCGAUUUGGGUCUUUUAAUACUUGAUUCUUUGAGGACAAGUAACAUGUUUGCUUCAUGGACAUUUGUUGGAGCAAAGACUUUAGUAGAUAAUAAUGCUACUUCUGAGGUUAGCUUGACUUUGAUGCUCUGUUUUUGUAUGCAUUUAGUUACUGUACAAUUUUUGUUGCAAAGGCCUUAUUUGCUUAGCUUAGUUUUGCUUACUCAAUUAGUUAUAAUUUUUUGAAUUUGGCUGUGGUUUUUUGCAAAAUUUCUUUCCAAUCCAUAUUAGUUCACCUUUCUAACCAACUUGGAUAUAAAGACUGCGUCUAUUGGCUGUGGUUUUUUGCAAAAUGCCGUUCCAAUCCAUUUUAUAUAUUAUUAAUCUUUCAUUUGCAAUUGGU